CUUUGUUGGCUAGACAGAUUCCUAGUUUAAUAGAUGCAUCAAAAUCGGACUCCACCUUGCGUAAAUAUAAAACUUAUUUUUCCAAAUUUCAAAACUGGUGUAAAAUGUAUGAUCUUGACUCGCUGCCGGCAUCGGCAUCUACGGUUUCACUUUAUAUUUCCUUUUUGGUUCAAGCUAAUUCAUCUUCUUCUGUUCUGACUGCUACUAUUUAUGCUAUUCAGUGGUAUCAUGACAAAAAUUUAUUUCCUAAUCCAUGUUAUGAAAAAUUGGUGAAACUUACUGCGGAAGGUGGAAGACGCAUUUUGGCUAAACCGUUUGUUAAUAAGAAGGAACCUAUCACUAUUGACAUUAUUGAAAAAAUCUUCAAAUCAAAAAAUGACAUGGAUAACUUGUGUCAUUUACGCACCAGAUUAAUAUGUGUUUUAGGAUAUGCAGGCUUUUUUAGAGCAAGUGAAUUGUGCAGCAUUAAAAGUUCGGACAUUAAGUUCCAUGAUGAGUAUGUUGAAAUCAAGAUCAGGAGCUCAAAGACCGAUAUAUACAGGAGAGAGCGUUAUCAGAAGUCGGUGAAGAACCUAGAAAAUUCGGACUUCAUUCCCUAAGGUCAGGAGGGGCAACGGCAGCUGCUAAUGCGGACAUUCCAGACAGGUUGUUUAAAGCUCAUGGAAGAUGGAGAAGUGAGACUGCGAAGGAUGGUUACGUUAAAGACAAUAUUAAUAAUAUUUUGUCAGUUUCAAAAAAUCUUGGUUUGUAAUGUAUUAAUUUCAUGUAGUAUUAAAUUAUUCAACUUUACAGUCAUCACCCGACGUUUGUUUUUCGAAAUGGCUAACUACGUCUAUCCUAUAUUAUGUGUUUGUUUUGUUUUAUUAGAAUAGGAAAUAAUUUAUGUUCGGCUGAGCGAAGCGAAAGAGAACAUAAAUACAUUUCUUUUAGGUUAAAUGUAAAAAUAUAAGUGUUGUCUGUUGGGUUCGAGCCUGAGAUGUUUUGGUUGUUGAGCCAUCGUAUGUUCCACACGGCCACUCACGCUGGAUAAUUCUGGGUAUUUAAACGUUUCAGUCGUGUGUGUUAUAUUAUAAGUACUAUAUCAUGUAUCGUAGCGAUUUAUGAGUACUUGGGCUCUAGGGUAUUUAAAUCCAGGAAUCGGUCAGAGUAAUCAUUCGACAUUAGUUAGCCACACGACUGACAAGUUGUUAAGUUUAUCAUUUUAUUAUUAUAAAUUGAGUUUUAUUUUCAGAUAAAUAAGCAUUGGGAAUAAAUUUCAAUCUUCAACAGUUGCCAUGGUUUUUGCGGCAUCCAAGAUCCAAUCGAAGGUUAUUCUAUGGAAGUAGACCUGUCCUCCUGAUGACUUAUGUGCAAUUUGUAGUUUAAUAAAUGGCUAACUACGUCUAUCCUA
This is a long non-coding RNA of Magallana angulata, 1390 nucleotides long. RefSeq lists it as uncharacterized. NCBI's taxonomy places the organism in Eukaryota, Metazoa, Mollusca, Bivalvia, Ostreida, Ostreidae. The transcript is spliced from 2 exons. The record is from RefSeq and is a predicted model, not a curated record.